RNAcentral lists this transfer RNA (65 nucleotides) under Coleoptera sp. ACP-2013. Its description in RNAcentral is "tRNA-Asp". The record is from RNAcentral. Lineage: Eukaryota; Metazoa; Arthropoda; Insecta; Coleoptera.
GAAAAAUUUAGUUAAAAUUAUAACAUUAGCUUGUCAAGCUAAAAUUAUUAAAUCUAAUAAUUUUU